This 118-nucleotide ribosomal RNA is filed under the name Hordeum vulgare subsp. vulgare (domesticated barley). Lineage: Eukaryota; Viridiplantae; Streptophyta; Magnoliopsida; Poales; Poaceae. The record is from RNAcentral.
GGAUGGAUCGUACGGGCACUGAAGCACCGAAUCCCAUCAGAACUCUGAAGUUAAGCGUGCUUGGGGGAGAGUAGUACUAGGAUGGGGGACCUCUUGGGAAGUCCUCGUGUUGCAUUCC